This 460-nucleotide ribosomal RNA is filed under the name uncultured bacterium. Its description in RNAcentral is "partial 16S ribosomal RNA". It matches the Rfam family "Bacterial small subunit ribosomal RNA", at positions 338 to 795 of the family's 1533-position model. The record is from RNAcentral.
CCUACGGGUGGCAGCAGUGAGGAAUAUUGGUCAAUGGACGCAAGCCUGAACCAGCCAAGCCGCGUGCAGGAAGACGGCUCUAUGAGUUGUAAACUGCUUUUGUACGAGGGUAAACGCAGACACGCGUAUCUGUCUGAAAGUAUCGUAAGAAUAAGGAACGGCUAACUCCGUGCCAGCAGCCGCGGUAAUACGGAGGGUUCAAGCGUUAUCCGGAUUUAUUGGGUUUAAAGGGUGCGUAGGCGGUCGGGUAAGUUAGAGGUGAAAUCCCGGGGCUCAACUUCGGAAUUGCAUUUGAUACUGUUCGGCUAGAGAGUAGUUGCGGUAGGCGGAAUGCAUGGUGUAGCGGUGAAAUGCUUAGAGAUCAUGAAGAACACCGAUUGCGAAGGCAGCUUACCGGGCUGCAACUGACGUUGAGGCACGAAAGCGUGGGGAGCAAACAGGAUUAGAUACCCUUGUAGUC